GGGAUGACUGCUAUUGGCGUUACGUCACAAAAUUAAGCUCUCUGAUUUGCUGAAAAAUUUUUAAAUUUCAAUAAAACUCUCUGAUUGGGAGGCAGAAAUUUCCCAGCGAAUCGGAGAGCUUUAUUUUGUGACGUAACGCCGGGAGCCAUCAUCCC
Molecule: microRNA precursor, 155 nt
Filed under: Paramuricea clavata
Lineage: Eukaryota; Metazoa; Cnidaria; Anthozoa; Malacalcyonacea; Plexauridae
Source: RNAcentral